This is a non-coding RNA of Triticum aestivum (bread wheat), 135 nucleotides long. Lineage: Eukaryota; Viridiplantae; Streptophyta; Magnoliopsida; Poales; Poaceae. The record is from Rfam.
CAACUAGUCCCUCUGUCCCAAAUUUCUUGUCUUAGAUUUGUCUAGAUACGGAUGUAUCAAGUCACAUUUUAGUAUUAGAUACAUCCGUAUCUAGACAAAUCUAAGACAAUAAUUUUGGGACGGAGGGAGUAUUUU